RNAcentral lists this long non-coding RNA (520 nucleotides) under Junco hyemalis (dark-eyed junco). RNAcentral describes it as "lncRNA (ENSJHYG00000001287.1)". Lineage: Eukaryota; Metazoa; Chordata; Aves; Passeriformes; Passerellidae. The record is from RNAcentral.
CUGGCUCAUACUCAGGACUUGAGGUUAUUCUCUAGGUAAAGAUUCACAUCAAAUACUCUGUCACAAGAAUCUCAUUUCUUGAUCACAUAUUGUAAGCUGUAAAUGCACUCAAGUCCAUGCAACGUUAGAAAUAACAGCACGCUGAAUGGUUCUGGUACCUCAGGGGAGCAGUCCAGGCCAGACUUGGCAGUGGAGUUGCAUCACGGGCUGCUUUCCCGAUGGAGACGGAACAGGCAGACAACCUCCAUUAGAGACCAGCGCUGCGGUCCCAGCAGCUUGUCGGAAGUGGUGUUUGCAUUCCAGAGAGUAAUUGCACAUCACUAGAACAUGUCCCUUGCUGUCACAUGUGAUCCUUCAGCCCAGAAAGGAUGAGCAGGAACAUUCAUCCAUUGCUAGCCUGGUUCAAGCCAUGGGGGAAGUACAGUGGUUGCUGUUCUGCUGUGCUUGUAAAACAACACACAAGAGCAAAAUGCUUGGAUAGAACAAGCAACAAUAAAAAAAACAAGCAACCUGUGUUGCA